This 448-nucleotide ribosomal RNA is filed under the name uncultured bacterium. RNAcentral's name for it is "bacterial SSU rRNA". It matches the Rfam family "Bacterial small subunit ribosomal RNA", at positions 330 to 793 of the family's 1533-position model. The record is from RNAcentral.
GCCAGACUCCUACGGGAGGCAGCAGUGGGGAAUAUUGGGCAAUGGGCGCAAGCCUGACCCAGCAACGCCGCGUGAAGGAAGAAGGCUUUCGGGUUGUAAACUUCUUUUAUGAGGGACGAAAGAAAUGACGGUACCUCAUGAAUAAGCCACGGCUAACUACGUGCCAGCAGCCGCGGUAAUACGUAGGUGGCGAGCGUUGUCCGGAAUUACUGGGUGUAAAGGGAGCGUAGGCGGGAGUGCAAGUUGAAUGUAUAAACUAUCGGCUCAACUGAUAGAAGCGUUCAAAACUGCACUUCUUGAGUGAAGUAGAGGCAGGCGGAAUUCCUAGUGUAGCGGUGAAAUGCGUAGAUAUUAGGAGGAACACCAGUGGCGAAGGCGGCCUGCUGGGCUUUAACUGACGCUGAGGCUCGAAAGCGUGGGUAGCAAACAGGAUUAGAUACCCCCGUAA